CAACACCUAAAUAAAGUAAUUCGAAAAAUUAAACAGAAAUAACACGAUGUUUUGAUUUAUACUAAUUAUAUAAAUCAAACAUAAAGGUUAUUCCUGAUUAAUUUUUCGAAUUAUUUUAUAAUUAAAGGCGUUAAGAAACCUUUGGUGACCCCACAGUUUAAGUGUCUAUCGUAGGUACGUCGUGAAUAGUGGUCGUUACAGACAAACGUUCACGUAAAUGUCCCAGUCAAUGGAUGAAUUUAAUGUGUCAAUCAAUGGCCACAGCCACACUGUUUUGAAUUUCAUUCUACUU
Molecule: long non-coding RNA, 292 nt
Filed under: Mytilus galloprovincialis (Mediterranean mussel)
Lineage: Eukaryota; Metazoa; Mollusca; Bivalvia; Mytilida; Mytilidae
Source: RNAcentral